This 459-nucleotide ribosomal RNA is filed under the name uncultured bacterium. RNAcentral describes it as "partial 16S ribosomal RNA". It matches the Rfam family "Bacterial small subunit ribosomal RNA", at positions 338 to 795 of the family's 1533-position model. The record is from RNAcentral.
CCUACGGGUGGCAGCAGUGAGGAAUAUUGGUCAAUGGGCGGGAGCCUGAACCAGCCAAGUCGCGUGAAGGAAGAAGGUACUUAGUAUUGUAAACUUCUUUUGUCAGGGGACAAAGGCGGAGACGCGUCACCGUAUGAGUGUACCUGAAGAAAAAGCAUCGGCUAACUCCGUGCCAGCAGCCGCGGUAAUACGGAGGAUGCGAGCGUUAUCCGGAUUUAUUGGGUUUAAAGGGUGCGCAGGCGGGUGAUCAAGUCAGCGGUAAAAUGUUGGGGCUAAACCCCAGCCAGCCGUUGAAACUGGUAUUCUUGAGUGGGAGAGAAGUAUGCGGAAUGCGUGGUGUAGCGGUGAAAUGCAUAGAUAUCACGAAGAACUCCGAUUGCGAAGGCAGCAUACCGGCUCCCUACUGACGCUGAGGCACGAAAGCGUGGGGAUCGAACAGGAUUAGAUACCCUUGUAGUC